UACGUAGGGUGCAAGCGUUGCCCGGAAUUAUUGGGCGUAAAGAGCUCGUAGGCGGCUUGUCACGUCGGGUGUGAAAGCCCGGGGCUUAACCCCGGGUCUGCAUUCGAUACGGGCUAGCUAGAGUGUGGUAGGGGAGAUCGGAAUUCCUGGUGUAGCGGUGAAAUGCGCAGAUAUCAGGAGGAACACCGGUGGCGAAGGCGGAUCUCUGGGCCAUUACUGACGCUGAGGAGCGAAAGCGUGGGGAGCGAACAGG
RNAcentral lists this ribosomal RNA (253 nucleotides) under uncultured bacterium. RNAcentral describes it as "partial 16S ribosomal RNA". It matches the Rfam family "Bacterial small subunit ribosomal RNA", at positions 524 to 776 of the family's 1533-position model. The record is from RNAcentral.